UAUAUGCCUAACUAUAAAUAGAGGCAACAAAAUUGUGCAUACUGAGAGGUAAGAUUGUAUCACACAGAUUGGUUGCUUGCCUUCUAUCAAGAAAAAUUCACGAGUACUCCAAGGUUCAAAUGGCUAACGUCUGCGACAUUUGUGGUAUUGGUGUAAUACCGUGCACCUUAGAUCAUGAACAAGUACCAUAAUUCUGGGCGAUAGUUCCAGAGAAUCAUCGUUAUGGGAUUGUGAGUCAACAUUUGUUGGUUUGUAAUGUGAUAUGUAACUGUAUUAUAUAUCAAAUUGCAAAGUAACUUACUACGUACACUAAUUAUGUAUAGAAUUGUACUUUGCCGAGGCAUUUAGCCAUUUAGGUACUACAUCGAGCAACAAUAUUUCACAGUGAAGACUUCUCACGGAUCUGGCUACAGGAUGUGUGCGAGAGAGAAUGGAGAUAGAAUUUUUAUAGAGGGCAUUGGAUGGGAUUGCUUUUACUACGACUAUGAUAUAAGAAGAGGAGACACGAUACAUUUUCGCUACAACUAUAAAGAUUUAUUGAUGUAUAUGUCCCCAAUACAUCCAAAUGGUGAACCAAAGGUUAUAAUUACCGAUGUAUUUGACGAAGAAGAAAGACCUGUUGCAUACGACAAUGGGUUUAAUCUAAUACAAAGGCAAGUCAACAACAUGCGUACUUUAGUACAGACUUAUGAGGACUAUCCUGCGCAGGUCCAUUGCUUUACAACUGCCAACAUAUAUGGUAAUUAUUUGGUAAUACAUAGACCAAUAGUUGGGAGCCUUGGUCUACAACAAUAUGGUUUACUUUUACUGGAAAUGAGCCGGCAAACACACCAAUCAACAUAAGUUGAUUAUCAUAUUAAAAGAGAUGCCUAUCUCAAAAUUAACGGUCCUGCAUGGAGUAAUUUUGUAAGUCAACAUGAGAUAUAUGUUGACGUGUGUGUAGUAAUACUUGUUAUUCCUGAAAACAAUAGGCAGGAAGUGACGUUGAGAUUCAAACCUAUUACACCAGUUGGAAGGCAAAUAUUAAGUUCCGAUGAAGAUUCUGAUUCAAAAGAUGAAGACUAGGACCAUUGUUUUUUAGAUAUGUCUUAGAAUAAGUUUUUUUAACUAUGUAUUACAAUGAUUUAUAAUAUUUUUAUAAUAGGUUCUUGUUUUAACUAA
This is a long non-coding RNA of Triticum aestivum (bread wheat), 1161 nucleotides long. RefSeq lists it as uncharacterized. NCBI's taxonomy places the organism in Eukaryota, Viridiplantae, Streptophyta, Magnoliopsida, Poales, Poaceae. The transcript has 4 exons. The record is from RefSeq and is a predicted model, not a curated record.